AAUGGGUCAGCGACUUAUAUUCUGUAGCAAGGUUAACCGAAUAGGGGAGCCGAAGGGAAACCGAGUCUUAACUGGGCGUUAAGUUGCAGGGUAUAGACCCGAAACCCGGUGAUCUAGCCAUGGGCAGGUUGAAGGUUGGGUAACACUAACUGGAGGACCGAACCGACUAAUGUUGAAAAAUUAGCGGAUGACUUGUGGCUGGGGGUGAAAGGCCAAUCAAACCGGGAGAUAGCUGGUUCUCCCCGAAAGCUAUUUAGGUAGCGCCUCGUGAAUUCAUCUCCGGGGGUA
Molecule: ribosomal RNA, 288 nt
Filed under: Escherichia coli
Lineage: Bacteria; Pseudomonadati; Pseudomonadota; Gammaproteobacteria; Enterobacterales; Enterobacteriaceae
Description: partial 23S ribosomal RNA
Rfam family: Bacterial large subunit ribosomal RNA
Source: RNAcentral